Molecule: long non-coding RNA, 856 nt
Filed under: Eucalyptus grandis
Lineage: Eukaryota; Viridiplantae; Streptophyta; Magnoliopsida; Myrtales; Myrtaceae
Description: long non-coding RNA (EGRA_LNC004113)
Source: RNAcentral
GAAGCCCACACACUCCCCUCACGCCAGCCACGAGAUCUUCAAUUUAAGCUGCUCCUCGCCACUUGCCCAUCAACCAGCAUCUCUCGGUCAACACCUGCAAGAACGAAGCCGUUGGUUGACCGCUUGAAGCCCACGACUCCACCGAGUUCCUUCACGUUGCCACCUGCCCGCUCCUCCUUCUGCUUCGGUCAUCAAACGAAACCGCCGAAGCCCAAGUCCAACGUCUUCAGCCCGAGCAUAUCGUGGAGUCCACGAAGACAGCGUCCAUGAGCAGCUCCCAUCUUUAGUCUUCCCCUGUGGCGUGCCCUCAGCUCCACGCCAGCACGCCAGUCAACUCCAACGCCCACGGAAGACCACCGAUUCAACCAAGUCUUCAUCUGCGAAAUCCUCCGAGCAUCCUCACGCCGCCAGCAACAUCCACCGAGCAACACCACCGAAGAGAAGCCGCACGUAUCCACCGAAUUCUGCCGUUUGUCCGUGCUUCCCUCCACGCGUCCGAGCCCCAACUCAUUCGGUCCAUCAUCUCGCCGUGAAGCCUCGAGAUCCACCGAGUUGCCAACCGUUGCCAGCGUCUUCGGUCUCCUCAGUCAGCGAAUCCAGCUGCCCGAAGCCCAACAAAUCCUGCAGUUUCAGUCUUCUUUUGUUCGUGGGCCAACCACAGCGAGCACAUUCCAUUUUUCAGUGGCCCAACCUCAGCUCUUUGGAAGCCUGUGAUCAAGCAGCCCACAAGCCCAGUUCAGUUCAAUGACAACCCAGACCAGCAAGUUUUAGUUUCAGCUUUGGGCCGCAGUUCAAGCCCAAUCAAUUUCUCACCAUCAGCAGCCCAUCAGCAGAGUUUUGUGAGGCCCAAUUCCAG